This 387-nucleotide ribosomal RNA is filed under the name uncultured bacterium. RNAcentral describes it as "bacterial SSU rRNA". It matches the Rfam family "Archaeal small subunit ribosomal RNA", at positions 339 to 726 of the family's 1478-position model. The record is from RNAcentral.
GCGCGAAGACUUUACAAUGCUGGCAACAGCGAUAAGGGAACCUCGAGUGCCAGGUUACAAAUCUGGCUGUCGAGAUGCCUAAAAAGCAUUUCAUAGCAAGGGCCGGGCAAGACCGGUGCCAGCCGCCGCGGUAACACCGGCGGCUCGAGUGGUAACCGUUAUUAUUGGGUCUAAAGGGUCUGUAGCCGGCCGGAUAAGUCUCUUGGGAAAUCUGGCAGCUCAACUGUCAGGCUUUCAGGAGAUACUGUCUGGCUCGAGGCCGGGAGAGGUGAGAGGUACUUCAGGGGUAGGGGUGAAAUCUUGUAAUCCUUGAAGGACCACCAGUGGCGAAGGCGUCUCACCAGAACGGACCUGACGGCAAGGGACGAAAGCUAGGGGCACGAACCG